CCUACGGGCUGCAGCAGUGGGGAAUAUUGGACAAUGGGCGAAAGCCUGAUCCAGCCAUGCCGCGUGUGUGAAGAAGGCCUUCGGGUUGUAAAGCACUUUCAGUGGGGAAGAAAGCCUUGGGGCUAAUACCCUCGAGGAAGGACAUCACCCACAGAAGAAGCACCGGCUAACUCCGUGCCAGCAGCCGCGGUAAUACGGAGGGUGCGAGCGUUAAUCGGAAUUACUGGGCGUAAAGCGCGCGUAGGCGGUCUGAUAAGCCGGUUGUGAAAGCCCCGGGCUCAACCUGGGAACGGCAUCCGGAACUGUCAGGCUAGAGUGCAGGAGAGGAAGGUAGAAUUCCCGGUGUAGCGGUGAAAUGCGUAGAGAUCGGGAGGAAUACCAGUGGCGAAGGCGGCCUUCUGGACUGACACUGACGCUGAGGUGCGAAAGCGUAGGUAGCAAACAGGAUUAGCUACCCGUGUAGUC
Molecule: ribosomal RNA, 465 nt
Filed under: Vreelandella stevensii
Lineage: Bacteria; Pseudomonadati; Pseudomonadota; Gammaproteobacteria; Oceanospirillales; Halomonadaceae
Description: partial 16S ribosomal RNA
Rfam family: Bacterial small subunit ribosomal RNA
Source: RNAcentral